CCUACGGGAGGCAGCAGUGAGGAAUAUUGGUCAAUGGGAGAGAUCCUGAACCAGCCAAGCCGCGUGAGGGAAGACGGCCCUAUGGGUUGUAAACCUCUUUUGUCGGAGAACAAAACCCGGGACGUGUCCCGGACUGCGUGUAUCCGAAGAAAAAGCAUCGGCUAACUCCGUGCCAGCAGCCGCGGUAAUACGGAGGAUGCGAGCGUUAUCCGGAAUGACUGGGGGUAAAGGGUGCGUAGGUGGGUUGGCAAGUUAGUAGCGUAACUCCAAGGCUCAACCUUGGAAUUACUACUAAAACUGUUGGACUUGAGUGCAGGAGGGGCAAGCGGAAUUCCUGGUGUAGCGGUGAAAUGCGUAGAUAUUAGGAGGAACACCAGUGGCGAAGGCGGGUUGCUAGACUGUAACUGACACUGAGGCACGAAAGCGUGGGGAGCAAACAGGAUUAGAUACCCCGGUAGUC
RNAcentral lists this ribosomal RNA (460 nucleotides) under uncultured bacterium. RNAcentral's name for it is "partial 16S ribosomal RNA". It matches the Rfam family "Bacterial small subunit ribosomal RNA", at positions 338 to 795 of the family's 1533-position model. The record is from RNAcentral.